GACGAACGCUGGCGGCGUGCCUAAUACAUGCAAGUAGAACGCUGAAGGAGGAGCUUGCUUCUCUGGAUGAGUUGCGAACGGGUGAGUAACGCGUAGGUAACCUGCCUGGUAGCGGGGGAUAACUAUUGGAAACGAUAGCUAAUACCGCAUAAGAGUAGAUGUUGCAUGACAUUUGCUUAAAAGGUGCAAUUGCAUCACUACCAGAUGGACCUGCGUUGUAUUAGCUAGUUGGUGAGGUAACGGCUCACCAAGGCAACGAUACAUAGCCGACCUGAGAGGGUGAUCGGCCACACUGGGACUGAGACACGGCCCAGACUCCUACGGGAGGCAGCAGUAGGGAAUCUUCGGCAAGGGACGGAAGUCUGACCGAGCAACGCCGCGGGAGUGAAGAAGGUUUUCGGAUCGUAAAGCUCGGUUGUAAGAGAAGAACGAGUGUGAGAGUGGAAAGUUCACACUGUGACGGUAUCUGACCAGAAAGGGACGGCUAACUACGUG
Molecule: ribosomal RNA, 495 nt
Filed under: uncultured bacterium
Lineage: Bacteria
Description: partial 16S ribosomal RNA
Rfam family: Bacterial small subunit ribosomal RNA
Source: RNAcentral